Molecule: long non-coding RNA, 842 nt
Organism: Prosopis cineraria
Lineage: Eukaryota; Viridiplantae; Streptophyta; Magnoliopsida; Fabales; Fabaceae
Exons: 2
Source: RefSeq, a predicted model, not a curated record
GAGCACUGGUUGCUUCAUCAAGUAGAAGAAUUACUGGAUUCUUUAUGAUGGCUCUAGCAAUGGCUACUCUCUGCUUUUGUCCACCCGAUAGAAGUGCCCCCUUCUCUCCAAUCUGGAAGCUGCCUUAUGAAGUCAUGAGCAUUGGCGGCAGUGGUUGCAGCAAUUACUUCAUCCAUGGUGGCAUCUGGCUUCCCAAACAUGAUAUUUUCUUUGAUAGAUGUUCCAAACAGUGCGUGCUCUUGACUGACGAGCCCCAUUUUCCCUCUUAUCCAUUUCAACUGUAAGCUUCUUAUGUCUUCACCAUCAAUUCUCACCACACCUUCAUUGGCAUCAUAAAACCUCUGCAAUAAUGCAAUUGCUGUGGAUUUGCCGCUUCCACUCGCACCAACCAAAGCAACAGUUUUCCCUGCUUCAACUCUCAGAUUGAAAUCUCUCAGCACAACUGUUUCUGGACGAGAAGGGUAUGUGAAUUUGACAUGCUCAAAUUCUAGCUUCCCACUCAUGCGUUCUAAUGCAAGUCCUCUUGUGUCUUCAGCAUCAAUGGAUGGUAUCCGAUCAAUCACGUCAAAUAUGCGUGAAGCAGCAACAGAUGCUUCUGUGAAGUACUUGAGGUCAGGAAGCACCACCCCAAGGGAUCUGCAUUACAGCUCACCAAUUAGCAUAAUUACAAAGAACAACUUCAUGUAAAAGCUAAACAUCAGAAAAAGUUUGUAAGGGCUAGCGGUCUCAUAUUGUCAAACCAGUGAAUUGAAACCAUGCUGUGUUUCCAUCUUUUCCUAACUCAAGUGAAGAGAUUGUCGCCGGCGCAUGAUUUACUAAUGAAUAAGAGCUGAUUUUGAAUA